Molecule: ribosomal RNA, 85 nt
Filed under: Acanthosepion pharaonis
Lineage: Eukaryota; Metazoa; Mollusca; Cephalopoda; Sepiida; Sepiidae
Source: RNAcentral
GAGUUCCUAUACGAUCACCGAAGUUAAGCAACAUCCACCCAGGUCAGUACUUAGAUGGGUGACUGCUUGGGAAUACCAGGGCUGU